This 497-nucleotide ribosomal RNA is filed under the name uncultured bacterium. Its description in RNAcentral is "partial 16S ribosomal RNA". It matches the Rfam family "Bacterial small subunit ribosomal RNA", at positions 28 to 507 of the family's 1533-position model. The record is from RNAcentral.
GAUGAACGCUGGCGGCGUGCCUAAUACAUGCAAGUCGAGCGAACAGAUGAGGAGCUUGCUCCUCUGACGUUAGCGGCGGACGGGUGAGUAACACGUGGAUAACCUACCUAUAAGACUGGGAUAACUUCGUGAAACCGGAGCUAAUACCGGAUAAUAUAUUGAACCGCAUGGUUCAAUAGUGAAAGACGGUUUUGCUGUCACUUAUAGAUGGCUCCGCGCCGCAUUAGCUAGUUGGUAAGGUAACGGCUUACCAAGGCAACGAUGCGUAGCCGACCUGAGAGGGUGAUCGGCCACACUGGAACUGAGACACGGUCCAGACUCCUACGGGAGGCAGCAGUAGGGAAUCUUCCGCAAUGGGCGAAAGCCUGACGGAGCAACGCCGCGUGAGUGAUGAAGGUCUUCGGAUCGUAAAACUCUGUUAUUAGGGAAGAACAAAUGUGUAAGUAACUAUGCACGUCUUGACGGCACCUAAUCAGAAAGCCACGGCUAACUACGUG